GUCCAAUUACCUUGCGUUUGGAUCAGGCAGAAUAGGAGGAUGACUGUGAAAGGUAAAGAAAGGUAAAGAAUAUACUGAGGACUCUUGUGGAAGGCAGCAAGUAUGGAAUUGCUUAGUCACCAAGCAAGCAAUCUACAGUAUGAUGAAAGUAAAUCAAGGAGAAGAUGGUUUUCCCAAAGUUGUACAGGCAAUCUGGUGAAGAACUGGGAAGAGAAGAUGAGUCUCCAAAUUCACAGUCUUAUGUGUAGCUUUCUGAGCAUAAAUAAUAAUAAUAAUAAUAAUCCUACCAAUCGCUGAAGACUUGUUCAGCGUA
This is a long non-coding RNA of Mauremys reevesii (Reeves's turtle), 313 nucleotides long. RefSeq lists it as uncharacterized. The transcript has 3 exons. NCBI's taxonomy places the organism in Eukaryota, Metazoa, Chordata, Testudines, Geoemydidae. The record is from RefSeq and is a predicted model, not a curated record.